This 253-nucleotide ribosomal RNA is filed under the name uncultured bacterium. Its description in RNAcentral is "partial 16S ribosomal RNA". It matches the Rfam family "Bacterial small subunit ribosomal RNA", at positions 524 to 776 of the family's 1533-position model. The record is from RNAcentral.
UACGUAGGGUGCAAGCGUUGUCCGGAAUUAUUGGGCGUAAAGAGCUCGUAGGCGGUCUGUCGCGUCUGCUGUGAAAACCUGGGGCUUAACCCCGGGCCUGCAGUGGGUACGGGCAGACUAGAGUGCGGUAGGGGAGACUGGAAUUCCUGGUGUAGCGGUGAAAUGCGCAGAUAUCAGGAGGAACACCGGUGGCGAAGGCGGGUCUCUGGGCCGUAACUGACGCUGAGGAGCGAAAGCAUGGGGAGCGAACAGG